CAGUCCACCAUUUUGUGACAGGCCAUGCGCCGAGUCCACCAUUUUGUGUCAGGCCACAAGUCGGUCACCACCAUUUCGAGACAGGUCAUGGGGGCAGUCCACCGUUUUGUGAUAAGCCAUGGGACAGUCUGCCAUUUUGGGGCAGUCAGUGAGGUCAGUCCACCAUUUUGUGACAGGCCAUGGAGUCACUCCCCCAUUUUGUGACAGCCUGUGGGGUCGGCUGCUGCCCUUCCAGUGUGGACCAAAGGCUGACUAAAGCUCAAGGGGAUGGGGUGGAGCAGUGGCCAUCCCAUCUACACAGAGUUUGCCCAGUUCCCCUCUACUUCCCACCUCAUUGUUUUGAGCCAGUCAAGCAUUCCUCCAAUCUCCUACAGUCGUGGUGCAGGAAGCUGCUCACAGAUAGAUAAUUUAAACAUCUGGACUGGCAGGGAACUCCACUCGUUCUGUCUCCCUGUGUCCCACUCCUUUAGGGCAGAACUGAUUUAAAGCAUAACUACAAAACAUAUUGAGGUGUCUCAUAAGAGUUAGAACAUCCCAGAAAUGCUUCUCUGGCUUCCUUUGGCACUGAACCCAUGUUUUUGCUUCCAGAGUAAUCUAAAACGUUAUUUACAAGUGUGUUGUACUACAGCCCCCUUAAGUCUUUGGACUUGAAUCCUGGCUCGUUAGCAGCAAAUAAUGUGGCCUAGAAACUGAAACAAGGUUCACAAGGUCUUGGAAGCUAUGUAGGAAUAUGCAGGCAUGAGGGACUUGUACCUUCCAUGUCGUGAGCUGUGGGUAACGGAUAAGAUCAAAGAGUUGAGGGGGAAAAGAAGAUCAGCCCUGAACUGGAAUUCUGAGGACUUCUAUGCUUGUCUUACAUUUUUCAGGUUCUUCUACACAUAACCAAUGCAAUAUUAGCAUUUUUAGAUGGAUGAUAAGUAGAAAAAAGUAGUGUAAGAGUCCACUUAAAGCCUUUGUGAUUUCUUCUCCCUAAUUUUACUCCAUUUUUGUUGCAGCAAGGAUCCCAUCAGCCCAAGCCGCAGCACCGGGUAUGAAGGUGAAAUUUGUCUGGCCAGCCGAGUGUCCCUGCUGUCCAUGCACAGCUGCAGACAGGGCACUUGCUGCCCCAUAUGCCGAGGAGCACAGCCACCUGUGGCAUGUUUUAACAUUAAAAAUGCCAAGCACCUGCAACAGGUUUUGGCAUCUGUCACUGCAGCGUGAAUUGAGGCAGCUUGGGCUGUACGAGGCUGGCUCAGACCAGGCAAGGUACCAAAAGUUUUGCCUUUCUGUUCCAGAGCUUCACCUCUGCUGGCGUAUGGAAAACCCUCUGAGGAUCCAGGAGGAGUGAUGAGGGUGCCUGAAACACUGCAGGGAUAAGGACACAGGAGAACCACACUCAGAAACCAGGAGGAGAGUCCCCACGAGGAAGGUUUUGCUUCACAUUUUGACACCAUUAGGUGUUAGUUAUAUUAAACUGUACUAGACGGGAGUGAGGUCAAAUGAGAUUUCCUGCUUAAAAUGGAGGAGUUAAGUCACAAAAUGUGCUCAAUAAUAUACAGUGCCUGAGUUAAGAGGUGGCUGUUAUCACAGAUAUCAAGCUCUUCUGGAAGUUCUCUGUUUCCUGCACUGUUUCUGGUUUGGUGCAGCCCUGGACAAUGUCAGGGAUGUGGUGUCACCACUUGAAGAUCUCAGGAAGGACAAAUCAAUUUUGAAGGACUGAUAACUCCAGGCUUUGUGACGGACCAAAUCCUUGCUCUCCCCAGUUCCUUGGAGCUGAAGGUGCUCACCCACACUGACAGUUUAGACCCCCUGGCAUCGCGCCGAGGAGCUGCGGAACCAGAGUACACCUCGGGCCCAGCUGGGUGGCCAUCACUCGCCCUCCCAGGGUCCCCGCGGUGAAGGCUCUGUGAGGGCCGCGGCUGCGGGGGCCACACAGACGUCACCGCCGUUGGGAUGGAUCCAUAGGGAUGUGUGUCCCUUGUGACUGAUGCCGGGGACAUGACUGCUGUGCGGGAUGGGCCUGUCUCUGGGUUUGGGGCUCGGAGCUCUGCGAUCCCCCGGCUCUGCCGGGGCGGGGCGAGGGGCGGGGC
Molecule: long non-coding RNA, 2069 nt
Organism: Pseudopipra pipra
Lineage: Eukaryota; Metazoa; Chordata; Aves; Passeriformes; Pipridae
Exons: 7
Source: RefSeq, a predicted model, not a curated record